Molecule: ribosomal RNA, 497 nt
Filed under: uncultured bacterium
Lineage: Bacteria
Description: partial 16S ribosomal RNA
Rfam family: Bacterial small subunit ribosomal RNA
Source: RNAcentral
GACGAACGCUGGCGGCGUGCUUAACACAUGCAAGUCGAACGGUGAAGCGCCUUCCUUUUUGGUGGGUGUGGAUGAGUGGCGAACGGGUGAGUAACACGUGAGUAACCUUCCCCCUUCUUCUGGAUAACCGCAUGAAAGUGUUGCUAAUACGGGAUAUUCUGGGUCUGUCGCAUCAUUGGUCUGGGACAGAUUUUCUUUCGGUUGGGGAUGGGCCCGCGCCCUAUUAGCUUGUUGGUGGGGUGAUGGCGUACCAAGGCGGCGAUGAGUAGCCGACCUGAGAGGGGGGUCGGCGAUCCUGGUGGGGAGGAGAGAUGGAGAAGACUACGAGGGGAGGCAGUAGUGGGGAAUAUUGCAUGAGGGGAGGAAGGAUGGUGCAGCGACGCGGGGUGGAGGAUGGAGGUCGGCGGGUUGUGAACCGUUUUCGCGAGAGAAGAAGGGCUGAAGUGUUUGUGGGUGGGUUGACGGUAGCUGGAGAGGAAGCGCCGGCUAACUACGUG